CUUCCUCCCUGGGCCCCAGUCUCCUCAUCCAUAAAAUGGGAUAAUGGUGGUCUAUACAGCUCAUGAGAUCUUUGGGUUGUUGUGAGGAUUAAAUGAGUUUAUAGUAAAAUGCUUAAAACAUGCUGCGUUCUCAUUAGUUAUCCGUGCUCAUGAUAGCAAGACAUCAGGUGACAUUGUGUGAGUGGCUGGUGGCUCAGAGCUCCCCCUGGGUAAGUCAUUUCAGGGAAAAGCACCUUGGACUCUGCCAACAGGAUCUUUUUGUGAGUGUCAUGAGGUUAGAAUGAAAGGGUUUCGUAAAGUGUAUGCGAAUGGGAUUGUUAUGACUAAGCCCCAAAUGUUAUUCUCCUUGAUCUGUCUCAAGAUGGGUCCUGGGACUCUGGCUUUUCACCACCUAAAGAAAACAACUCUAGAUGCCUGUCUGAGGGGUGGCCCUGCCUGUUCUUGGGAGAAGGUCCAGCCUGGCCACAGAAGUGCUCUCAGAAACUUCAGAGAAACCCUACUGGAAAUUUAACAUCACCCACUUUGUAAGCAGUGGAGCCAGGAUUCAAAUCCCAGUCCAGUCAUGGUCCGAGGUGAGCUUCAUCAGGUCCCUCAGCGAAGAGAUGAAUCUACUUGUGGCAGAAAACACCCAUGAGCUUUACGGGAAGAGAAAGUGGAAGAGAGAAGGACAGACAGAAAUAUCAAUGUGAGAGAAGC
Molecule: long non-coding RNA, 696 nt
Organism: Myotis myotis
Lineage: Eukaryota; Metazoa; Chordata; Mammalia; Chiroptera; Vespertilionidae
Exons: 3
Source: RefSeq, a predicted model, not a curated record